AAGAGGUUGUGGCUCGGCAGGAGCACAGCGGCCAGCGGGGCCCCGGCAGCGGUGACACCGAGUGCUGGGAGCCGCUGGCAGGUGAAGGACACAGGGAUCGCUCUGGCAAUGGCCUCAUGAAGAAGGACACAGUGAAAGAGAGGAGCCAUUCAUUCCUGAUGAUGCAAACAGGGCACCAAAGGCUCUCUGACACAGGGACAAGGAUGAGACCCUGGGGCAACACAGAAACUGGCUGUUAGGUCAGACUGAAAACUGAGCCUGCACAUCACUGCAUCUGUGAGCCUAUAUUCAGUCUGGCAUUUGACGCAGCUGGUUUUGUUGUGCAAGAAGAUGGAGUGGGAUGUCACCGACCAGCUGAUUCCAUCUGUGCCCUUUCUGCUGCCAUCGGCAGCAGGACUGUGCACAUCCAUCUCAUCCAACAGUCCACGAGGAAAGGACCUGAAUAAUUUCAGGAGAUCGUGAAUUGGUGACACUCUAGAGGACUGUUAAACGUGUGGACAGAACUUCUUUGAGGAACAUUUUUUCUCCAGCUAUGUACAUGAAAGAUUGAAGAAAUCUCUCAAAUGUACAGUCUAUUGAACUAGUAAUAUACUACACAAAGCUACCAAGAGACAAUACAUUGACUAUCCAAUCUAUACCCUUUAAAGGAUGUUAGACAGAUACAUAGAAGAACUGGAAGAAUCGUACUAGGUUAGAUCUACAGAAGAAAAGACUGUGGGUCUGUCCAAGCAUUAAUGCUGUUUUUGAGACUGGUUGUCACCAGAUAACUGAGAAGAUGGCAGAAGACCCUUCUAUCAAACAGAUAUGAUAUAGCUUGUCCUUUCUGUCAAGUAUCCUCUGCUUUUGUACUGCGGCAUUACUCUCAUUUAGGUUACAUUGAGCCCUGGAGCACAAUGGCCAUUUCGAUAAGUAUUAUUACAUUGCUUGUAUACCACACUUGUCAUAACUCCAGGUACCACUCUUAUCCAUGAGAAUGCUCAGUCUCACUAGGAAUCUUCAUUGGUCUCAUUUCCUCUGAGAAUGAAUUCUAUUACCUAAUUAUAUAUUGUAGAAAAAGUGUUUCCUUAUAAUGGCUUCCAGCUUGCCUUUUAUUUUCCUUGUUGUUAUACUAUUUAUCAGAGAAAAGGGAUAUUCUCAUUCUUCCAUUUAAAUAGCAGCCACUGUUUCACAUACUUUUGAUACAUUUGCUCUUAUUCCUCUCCUUUCUAAAUCAAACCGUUUCAUCUUUUCACACUCUCCUCUUGAAAGUUUUUUUCCUGUUUGUGAUCACUCUCAUUGUCUUUCUCUGAACACUAAUAUAUGAUAUACACAUUCAAGCAUUUUAUCUGCAAGAUCCUUACCACUGCUUGUGACCCAUGAGAUACUUAAUUUAAAGCAUACAAAUAUUCCCUCUGCUCUCAGUGGGACUUUUUGUGUAAUUAAAUAAAUGUUGAAGACAUUGGUUGAUGUUGCCAGAUACAUGUUUGUGCCUACAACCAAAAAAACACGUGCAGUUUUCUUAGUCACACUAGAAGGGCAAUCUGUGUAGCUAUUGAUUUCAGCCACAUACUCACAUGCUUAAAAAUAAGCCCACAGUUGAGCCUUUGCUUCUGCAGAUUAAUGCCAAUCUGCCUGUGUUCUCUCUCAGAAGACCACACACUUACUACAUGAACACACUAUGACAGCAAUCUGCACGGAAACAAAGUGAUAUUGAGGAAAUAAUGGGGAAAAAAAUGUAAAAAGUAAACUGAAUUAUGAAGCCAAAUUACUGCUAAACACAAUGACAAUAAAUACUUUCAGCCACAGGCAA
This is a long non-coding RNA of Falco peregrinus (peregrine falcon), 1789 nucleotides long. RefSeq lists it as uncharacterized. The record is from RefSeq and is a predicted model, not a curated record. The transcript is spliced from 5 exons. NCBI's taxonomy places the organism in Eukaryota, Metazoa, Chordata, Aves, Falconiformes, Falconidae.